CACUUUUGCUCAAUCUCCCCCAAAUUCACAUUUACAGCAAACACUACCAACCUCCAAAAUCACACUACGAGCUCCAAUCUCACCACCGUACGAAACCCCACCGGACAAAUCUCCACCGGACGACCACCGUACGACAACCAGACGAAGCUUUUGUUCCCACUAUCGAACGAACCCCCUUAAGGGCUGUUAAUUGGGGCGUCAUACAAAUCACGAAAAUGGAAUGUUUAAAAGUUGUAUAUUUUGGCUUCUAGAGUUGUUGAUGAUGGUACAGGCUGAUGGUCAAGACCCGUGCGUGCAAAGUUGGUAUUGUAAUGCCUGAUGCAAGCUAGAGUUGGAAACCGAGAAUCUAAUUAGCCAUACAUGAGUUUCCCCGUCAUGAGAAAGCAACAAAUUUGUCAUUUCGACAAAAACAACUAUAUUUUCAUUGAUUUAUACCCCAUCUUUCUUCUACCAAUCCUAUCUUUAUUCAUUCUCCAAUAUUUCAUCUCUUUUCAAUCUUUAACAUAUCAACAGAUUAAAGGGUGUUUGUUAUAUUACACUAACUCAAUAUGAUAUUGAAGAUGUUCAAGAACACUGCAAUAAUCUAUUUUCCCAGCAAGAGAUAGUUUCUUUGUAUAAAAGAUUUUGUCAACUCGACCGCAAUGCCAAGGGAUUCAUUUCUGCUGAUGAGUUUCUUUCGGUACCCGAAUUUGCAAUGAAUCCUCUGUCUCAGAGAUUGCUUAAGAUGGUGGAUGGUUUGAACUUUAAGGACUUUGUGAUAUUCUUGUCAGCUUUUAAUCCUAAAGCAAGCAUGCCCCAGAAGAUUGAAC
Helianthus annuus (common sunflower) is the source of this 809-nucleotide long non-coding RNA. RefSeq lists it as uncharacterized. The record is from RefSeq and is a predicted model, not a curated record. NCBI's taxonomy places the organism in Eukaryota, Viridiplantae, Streptophyta, Magnoliopsida, Asterales, Asteraceae. The transcript has 4 exons.